AGAACGAACGCUGGCGGCAGGCCUAACACAUGCAAGUCGAACGCCCCCGCAAGGGGAGUGGCAGACGGGUGAGUAACGCGUGGGAACAUACCUUUCGGUUCGGAAUAGCUCAGGGAAACUUGAAUUAAUACCGGAUACGUCCGCAAGGAGAAAGAUUUAUCGCCGAAAGAUUGGCCCGCGUCCGAUUAGCUAGUUGGUGGGGUAAAAGCCUACCAAGGCGACGAUCGGUAGCUGGUCUGAGAGGAUGAUCAGCCACACUGGGACUGAGACACGGCCCAGACUCCUACGGGAGGCAGCAGUGGGGAAUCUUGCGCAAUGGCGAAAGCCUGACGCAGCAACGCCGCGUGGGGAUGAAGGCCUUCGGGUUGUAAACCCCUUUCAGCAGGGACGAAGCGCAAGUGACGGUACCUGCAGAAGAAGCGCCGGCUAACUACGUGCCAGCAGCCGC
Molecule: ribosomal RNA, 448 nt
Filed under: uncultured bacterium
Lineage: Bacteria
Description: SSU rRNA
Rfam family: Bacterial small subunit ribosomal RNA
Source: RNAcentral